GUGCCAGCAGCCGCGGUAAUACAGGGGGUGCAAACGUUGCUCGGAAUUAUUGGGCGUAAAGCGCGCGUAGGCGGCCACUUAAGUCGGAUGUGAAAGCCCCUGGCUCAACUGGGGAAGUGCACCCGAAACUGAAUGGCUUGAGUGCGAAAGAGGGUCGCGGAAUUCCCGGUGUAGAGGUGAAAUUCGUAGAUAUCGGGAGGAACACCGGUGGCGAAGGCGGCGACCUGGGUCGACACUGACGCUGAGGCGCGAAAGCGUGGGGAGCAAACAGGAUUAGAUACCCCCGUAGUCC
This 292-nucleotide ribosomal RNA is filed under the name uncultured bacterium. Its description in RNAcentral is "partial 16S ribosomal RNA". It matches the Rfam family "Bacterial small subunit ribosomal RNA", at positions 505 to 796 of the family's 1533-position model. The record is from RNAcentral.